Molecule: transfer RNA, 75 nt
Filed under: marine metagenome
Description: tRNA-His(gtg)
Rfam family: tRNA
About the family: Transfer RNA (tRNA) molecules are approximately 80 nucleotides in length. Their secondary structure includes four short double-helical elements and three loops (D, anti-codon, and T loops).
Source: RNAcentral
GUGGUUGUAGCUCAGUUGGUUAGAGUAUCGGUUUGUGGUACCGAGAGUCGCGGGUUCGAGUCCCGUCUUCCACCC